RNAcentral lists this long non-coding RNA (2212 nucleotides) under Triticum aestivum (bread wheat). RNAcentral's name for it is "long non-coding RNA (TAES_LNC011804)". The record is from RNAcentral. Lineage: Eukaryota; Viridiplantae; Streptophyta; Magnoliopsida; Poales; Poaceae.
GGCAUGUGUAUGAGACGAAAAAAUUGUGCCUUAAAAACUACAUGUAUCACAAAUUUGUACCGAUUGUUGCUCUUCCUCACAUAUCACCAGGUUUCACCAAAAUAACUUUCCAUCCUUGCAAGCACUCCUUGGUACUCUCCUAACACGGCAGCAUGCUUGUAGAUGAUCAGAAAUAAUAAAUAUAUUAGUUUAGAGCUUUGGUUCAUGGGUGCUAAUCCAAGUAAAUUGACUAAUAAAAAACUAUGUUUCUUAUUUAGGGCAUAUUAAAAACGAAAUCUUAAUUUGAACAUUUAAAAAAAGUCUGGAUUUCUAGCGUUAUACUGUACUUUUGGCCAGUUCAUAUGCUGAUUCUAGAAAACUAUGAGGUGAUAUUUUUCAAUCUUCAAAUCCAAAUGCAGAAAUAAAAUUAUAUGCAUAGUACAUGUGUGUUCCAUCCACCCAUGCAUAUAUAAUAAUAUUAGCAUUGAGUUUUGAAAAAGAACAAUGACAUAAACCAUAAGGAGAACAUCUUGUUGAUCUUUUUGUGCCGUAUCCAAAUAAGAAAUAUUCUGCAAACAAUAUUAGCUUACUGUUACUGUCAGCCAUAUGCUUCUAUGUCUAAUGCAUCGGACUCUGAUUCUAAGCCUUUUAUCGUUGACAGGGAGGUUACAUUGUUCAAAUUUGUAUCAGGUUAUCUCUUUUCAGUAGUAAGCACAUGGUGAGCAUCUCCAAUAAGCCAGCCGUAGUCCAAUCAAUGACCAAAUCAGGGGAUAAUUUUAGUCAACUACUUUUCACCAGUCAACAGAGCUUGCUUGUCAUUUUUUCAAACCAAUGCAAAAAGAAAUAGGCCAAACUGCACCGGAGGAGCAAUACACUACUAACUAAACGUAAAAAAGAUGCAAACCAAGGGGACUUCAAUCCGUAAUAAGCUCUGCAUUGAAUAACAACAUAUACCUUUUCCUCAACAGACAACACACCAGAUUCGCCUCUACUUCAGUGGUGUGCACAUUGAGGUGGAUGGGAGGAGCACCAGCAAUGCCCGGCAAAGUAGGGAGGAAGCUGCCUGCUCCAUAUACGAUGGACAUGGCGUCAAGUAAUAUUGUUGGAGGAUAAUAUGAGAGGAACGAAGAGCAAAGUGGCAACACCUUUGAUCUGCACAAAGAGGCCUAUAUGUGAAAUAUAAAUUAUGUUAACGUACUUGCUCUUUAAUGAUGGAAAACAGAAAGUGACUGAAACUCUCAAAGUCUUCAACUACAUAUGCUAUAUAUAUGGAAAAAAAAAUGUUCCAUUACUGAACGUUAUAACAAACCAAGGCGUGCACAAAAAGGAAAACCUCUACCCGUCUCUCUGCUAACAAAAAGAAGCUAAACCAUGUUUCCAUCUCUGCUAGUUUGAUGAUCGAACCUGUAAAAGGAGGCCCAGUCACAGACCCGCCCUCCACCAGAAGUAACAUGGUCUUGCUGAAAUCAGCCAACUUGCAAAUUGAUUCUGGUACUAUUAAUUAAUCCCCAAUUGUACGUACACUGAUUACAUUAAGCAGGACAUUGCUCUUGCAAUGGAAGGACUCUUCUAAUCCCAUUCUGAGUACUACCACGGCUAGGUAGCACAUUAAUUUGAUCCUAACUUACUCAAUCUCACAUGGAAAUCUGGAUUAGCGAGCCACUACUCUUCCAAUCCCAUUCUGAGUACGGGAUUAGUGAGCGACUCCUUCGGCAAUGCGUCACCUGUGCCUUCUCAAGUGUCAAGAGUCGCCAUGGAAACUUGACAAAAAAUCUCCAAAGGGGAUCCACCACCGGUGCACCAGCUUGUUGCCAGCUCCAAUCACCCCCUGAUUAGCUCAUCCCCUUGUUUAUACCUACGAACCGCCUGCAGCUGCAUAUGAAUCAAAGAGCUGCAGGUUGGCACGCUUCAGCCAUCUAGAGCUGAAUCGGAGGCGACGCUUAUGAUCUAGAGUACGUUGUAUACUUGCAGUACGACAUAGGGCAGAAGGUACUUGUAGUAUGUGCUGAUCGAUGGAGUGGUGGCCUCGUGUACGGCUCAACGAACCGAGGUUGUAGCCGUCUUGUUCUUCGAUCCACCUGCCAUGAAGAGAGGCUCUCGUUAUCCUGUUCUUCGAUCCACCUACUCUAGAUUUAUGAAGGAAGGAUAUCGGCCAUGGAUUGAAGACACCUAGGGCCUAGCCGCCUAGGGCAUGAUGGAGAGGGCCGGUGAAGAUAAAGAUGUCACAUUUUUU